GAUGAACGCUGGCGGCGUGCUUAACACAUGCAAGUCGAGCGAGAAGUUUUAAAAAGAUUCUUCGGAUGAAAUUUAAAAUGGAAAGCGGCGGACGGGUGAGUAACGCGUAGGCAACCUGCCCCAUACAAAGGGAUAGCAUUUGGAAACGAAUAUUAAUACCUUAUGAAACUUAACUAGUGCAUGCUAGGUAGGUCAAAGAUUUAUCGGUAUGGGAUGGGCCUGCGUCUGAUUAGCUAGUUGGUGAGGUAACGGCUCACCAAGGCGACGAUCAGUAGCCGACCUGAGAGGGUGAACGGCCACAUUGGAACUGAGACACGGUCCAAACUACUACGGGAGGCAGCAGUGGGGAAUAUUGCACAAUGGGGGAAACCCUGAUGCAGCAACGCCGCGUGAACGAUGAAGGCCUUUGGGUCGUAAAGUUCUGUUCUAGGUGAUGAAAACUGACAGUAACCUAGGAGAAAGCCCCGGCUAACUCCGUG
This 479-nucleotide ribosomal RNA is filed under the name uncultured bacterium. RNAcentral's name for it is "partial 16S ribosomal RNA". It matches the Rfam family "Bacterial small subunit ribosomal RNA", at positions 28 to 507 of the family's 1533-position model. The record is from RNAcentral.